This 66-nucleotide transfer RNA is filed under the name Marmota monax (woodchuck). RNAcentral's name for it is "tRNA.Ala". Lineage: Eukaryota; Metazoa; Chordata; Mammalia; Rodentia; Sciuridae. The record is from RNAcentral.
GGUGUAACUCAGUGGUAGAGCAUGUGCUUUGCAUGCAGAAGGCCCUGAGUUCAAUCCCCAGGAUCA